This 484-nucleotide ribosomal RNA is filed under the name uncultured bacterium. Its description in RNAcentral is "partial 16S ribosomal RNA". It matches the Rfam family "Bacterial small subunit ribosomal RNA", at positions 29 to 507 of the family's 1533-position model. The record is from RNAcentral.
AUUGAACGCUGGCGGCAUGCUUUACACAUGCCAGUCGAACGGCAGCGCGGGCUUCGGCCUGGCGGCGAGUGGCGAACGGGUGAGUAAUACAUCGGAACGUGCCCAGUAGUGGGGGAUAGCUCGGCGAAAGCCGGAUUAAUACCGCAUACGACCUGAGGGUGAAAGCGGGGGAUCUUCGGACCUCGCGCUAUUGGAGCGGCCGAUGGCAGAUUAGCUAGUUGGUGGGGUAAAGGCCUACCAAGGCGACGAUCUGUAGCUGGUCUGAGAGGACGACCAGCCACACUGGGACUGAGACACGGCCCAGACUCCUACGGGAGGCAGCAGUGGGGAAUUUUGGACAAUGGGCGAAAGCCUGAUCCAGCAAUGCCGCGUGUGUGAUGAAGGCCUUCGGGUUGUAAAGCACUUUUGGCGGGAACGAAAAGGAUUGUGCCAAUACCACGGUUCGAUGACGGUACCCGCAGAAUAAGCACCGGCUAACUACGUG